Molecule: non-coding RNA, 117 nt
Filed under: Ditylum brightwellii
Lineage: Eukaryota; Bacillariophyta; Thalassiosirophyceae; Lithodesmiales; Lithodesmiaceae
Source: RNAcentral
UCCAUCCUAAACGAAAUGGAGGAGCUUAAUAAAAAUAAUAAUGGCGAAAAUAAAAAUAAUCGCAAUGUCAAACCAGAUGCAAGAAGUAUGAACUCUGUCAUGCUCUGUUUAGCUAAG